GAUGCCCUGGCAGUCAGAGGCGAUGAAGGGCGUGCUAAUCUGCGAUAAGCGCCGGUAAGGUGAUAUGAACCGUUAUAACCGGCGAUACCCGAAUGGGGAAACCCAGUGUGAUUCGUCACACUAUCAUUAACUGAAUCCAUAGGUUAAUGAGGCGAACCGGGGGAACUGAAACAUCUAAGUACCCCGAGGAAAAGAAAUCAACCGAGAUUCCCCCAGUAGCGGCGAGCGAACGGGGAGGAGCCCAGAGCCUGAAUCAGCAUGUGUGUUAGUGGAAGCGUCUGGAAAGGCGCGCGAUACAGGGUGACAGCCCCGUACACAAAAGCGCAUGUGCUGUGAGCUCGAUGAGUAGGGCGGGACACGUGGUAUCCUGUCUGAAUAUGGGGGGACCAUCCUCCAAGGCUAAAUACUCCUGACUGACCGAUAGUGAACCAGUACCGUGAGGGAAAGGCGAAAAGAACCCCGGCGAGGGGAGUGAAAAAGAACCUGAAACCGU
RNAcentral lists this ribosomal RNA (493 nucleotides) under Salmonella enterica. Its description in RNAcentral is "partial 23S ribosomal RNA". It matches the Rfam family "Bacterial large subunit ribosomal RNA", at positions 27 to 559 of the family's 2925-position model. The record is from RNAcentral. Lineage: Bacteria; Pseudomonadati; Pseudomonadota; Gammaproteobacteria; Enterobacterales; Enterobacteriaceae.